UCCGGAGGUCCCCUUGUUGCUU
This 22-nucleotide microRNA is filed under the name Ectocarpus siliculosus. RNAcentral describes it as "esi-miR3459-5p". Lineage: Eukaryota; Phaeophyceae; Ectocarpales; Ectocarpaceae. The record is from miRBase by way of RNAcentral.